AGUCAUUGGGGAGUAGCCGUACUCGAAACCGAGUAGCCUGCGUCAACACACUUGACUUUAACGUCAUGGCGCAAGCGGUAUUUGUGGAUUCUUCACGACUUGGCAAGACCUUUGACCAGAUCGCCACCGACGCGGCCGGGGGUGCGAUUUGGUCAUUGUUCGUCCCUGGCCAAGG
Molecule: small RNA, 175 nt
Filed under: marine eukaryotic metagenome
Description: yybP-ykoY manganese riboswitch
Rfam family: Manganese Mn2+ riboswitch aptamer (yybP-ykoY)
About the family: This RNA was originally discovered in E. coli during a large scale screen and was named SraF. The family was later found to exist upstream of related families of protein genes in many bacteria, including the the yybP and ykoK genes in B. subtilis. The specific functions of these proteins are unknown, but this structured RNA element may be involved in their genetic regulation as a riboswitch.
Source: RNAcentral